AAUGCAACACUACUAAUUUGUACUAAACAAUAAACUAAGUUGCACUAAUCAUUCGAAUGAAAGUACAUUAAUAUCAAUUGAACAAGAUUAAUUGCAAUUCAAAGAAACAAAACUUAGAAGCCAAUUAAAGUCUUGGAGGCUUGGAGCCACAUGGACAAAACUUAGAAGCAUGCCAUUGCAUACAGAGGACAGAACCUUCGGCAGAGGUUUCAAACCUUCAACAAGCUUGGGGAAUCAGAUGCAACCUUCCACUGCACUCUGCCCAGCAACACGCACGACAGGGGAGACAGCAACCAUAGCAACGAUAGCAACUGUGAUGAAUUGAUCCAAACCAACCAUAGCAACUGUGUUACCCCAUGGCACAUCCUCAACUGUUUCCUGCUUCUUACCCAUCCAAAUAACUAUUCUUUAGACAUUCUUAAGUCUUAACAUUAUAACAUACAAGUCCUUUUUCUCUCUCGGAACAUAGUUGGGACCCAUGAUUCUAACCUUCAUGCCAGUGGCACUUUUUCCAGAAAACACACGGCCAAAAGUAAAGAAAACAUCAAAUUAGGUCUAACAAGAUGGAUGUCUAGCCGAUCAAAAACAAAUCAUGCGAAUGACAUCAAUCUAACAGAUCAUGCGAGUUGAUAUCCCAAUAAUGUUUUGGAUCUUAAACUCAUUUACUAUUGAUGCCAGCCACCAUCUCAUCUUGAAAUGGAUAUUAUGGUAUCCCAUUUUUUUUAAUUUGCAUUGGAUAAAAUCAGAAAGCCUUUUGUUUACAUUUUCUUAUUUUUAUCAACGAGAAACAAACAAAAGGAAUAGCUCAAUCAGAUUCAGAGCUGAGUUUAGGAAAAACUUCAGGGCCCAAGAGAAAAUUUGUAUGAAACUUCAAGCACUACUGUAGCAAUAAAGCCUGAAAGUUUUGAUAAGAUUUCAUAUAUAUUCGGCUGGGAAUCAUAAAGGGGGCUAUUAGAAGCUUUGAUAUGUCUUCAGAUUGAGAAACUUUUGUACUUUAUGACGUAUCCCCUUUUCUGCAGUUUCCUAUUCCAUGCAGUGUUUUGUUUUCCAGGAAAGGUUAGUUUUAGUUCCGAUUGAGAAACUCUUGUUUUCAUGCUGUUAUUGACCCAAGUAAAAGAUCUUUUAGUUUAACUGCAUAAGCUAGCAUCAAAAUUAUUCUCCAGAGAACAUAACUGAAUAUUCUCAUUAAUCUCAUUAAUAUACUAGCUAAUUAACACUUAAUAAUCCAACUUAAAGCAAAUUUCUGAAAUCAGUGCAUUUUCACAUCAAAGAAAAACCCAUAAACAUGUUAGAGCCAAUGUCAAGAAACUUACCAAUUCUUGGAGCUAUCGCGCCAACCACCGAAUCACUUGUUGAAGGAAUCGAGCUGCCCUCCAUUUCCUCAAAAUUCCAGUACAGCAAUGGAGAAGGAAUGGGAUACGGAAAUUGAAUAUAUUGAAUCGCAGGCUGCAGCCCCCAAUUUUUUUGGUUAGGGUUUGGAGAUUAAAAAUUAAUAUUACAUUUAUAAAAUUUAACCUCAUAAUGCACAUAUUUACUACACAAAUGCACAAUAAGUACCUUAAUUUGUCAAAUGCAGCUGUUGAAAUUGAUGGGUUUUGAUUUGAUUUGAAACCCCCACUCAAAGGUCGGCUGCUCAGUGCUCACGCUGCUACCUACUCCAAGUUGAGCUAAACUGCUGAAGUGUUUAUAGCUUUAGAUGAUCAGUUGUGACUUGUGACAGUUGAGGAGAUGAGCCAAAGAAUAAGAGAUUGCGAUUUGAGAGAGGCUGAAGAGGAAGGAACGGCCGAACGAAGAAGAAGAAAGAACUGUGAAGGAUGAAUUCGACGGAAGCUUUUUCAUUUUUCGUUUUUAGUUUUCCUCAUUUCAUCAGAAUUCUCGAGCCAAAAUUACUUAUUCACCCUUGUUUACUAAUUGGCAGGGAACUGCUUAAGCCCGUAAAUAUUCUAGCUAACAAACCUAAAAGAGUAAA
Molecule: long non-coding RNA, 1969 nt
Filed under: Coffea arabica (coffee)
Lineage: Eukaryota; Viridiplantae; Streptophyta; Magnoliopsida; Gentianales; Rubiaceae
Description: long non-coding RNA (CARA_LNC000985)
Source: RNAcentral